UACAGAGGGUGCGAGCGUUGUUCGGAAUUACUGGGCGUAAAGCGCGCGCAGGCGGCCUUUUAAGUCUUGUGGUGAAAUGCCGGGGCUCAACCCCGUGCCCGCCGGAGAUACUGGGAGGCUGGAGACGAGUAGAGGCAAGCGGAAUUCCGGGUGUAGCGGUGGAAUGCGUAGAGAUCCGGAAGAACACCGGGGGCGAAGGCGGCUUGCUGGGCUCGGUCUGACGCUGAGGCGCGAAAGCGUGGGGAGCGAACAGG
RNAcentral lists this ribosomal RNA (254 nucleotides) under uncultured bacterium. RNAcentral describes it as "partial 16S ribosomal RNA". It matches the Rfam family "Bacterial small subunit ribosomal RNA", at positions 524 to 776 of the family's 1533-position model. The record is from RNAcentral.